This 77-nucleotide transfer RNA is filed under the name Moraxellaceae bacterium. RNAcentral's name for it is "tRNA-Met". It matches the Rfam family "tRNA". Rfam says of the family: Transfer RNA (tRNA) molecules are approximately 80 nucleotides in length. Their secondary structure includes four short double-helical elements and three loops (D, anti-codon, and T loops). Further hydrogen bonds mediate the characteristic L-shaped molecular structure. tRNAs have two regions of fundamental functional importance: the anti-codon, which is responsible for specific mRNA codon recognition, and the 3' end, to which the tRNAs corresponding amino acid is attached (by aminoacyl-tRNA synthetases). tRNAs cope with the degeneracy of the genetic code in two manners: having more than one tRNA (with a specific anti-codon) for a particular amino acid; and 'wobble' base-pairing, i.e. permitting non-standard base-pairing at the 3rd anti-codon position. The record is from RNAcentral. Lineage: Bacteria; Pseudomonadati; Pseudomonadota; Gammaproteobacteria; Moraxellales; Moraxellaceae.
GGCAAGGUAGCUCAGAUGGUUAGAGCACAUGAUUCAUAAUCAUGGGGUCGCCGGUUCGAUUCCGGCCCUUGCUACCA